Long non-coding RNA from Mytilus trossulus (common blue mussel), 660 nucleotides. RefSeq lists it as uncharacterized. The transcript is spliced from 5 exons. The record is from RefSeq and is a predicted model, not a curated record. Lineage: Eukaryota; Metazoa; Mollusca; Bivalvia; Mytilida; Mytilidae.
AGAAGGCGGUAAACGAAACGCACACAAACAAGAAAGUUGUGUUUCUUUUUGAUGUAAUACAUACCGGGUCAUACCCACUAUUUUGUACUUGGAAAGCACAACGAAAGCUGACUCGAAAUCAUGCUGUUUGGGCCCUCUUCAGACUUGUACAAUGUACAUAGGAAGUGGACUCCUUGAGAAGGUGAAAGGUCUGCUUUACAUCAUUUUCAAUGGAUGUACAAGUACAAGUACUUUGAGAAGUAUGAGAAGCUAAUCAACAGGACAGAAUUCAUUUGGGUCAUUGCUGUCUAGAUUAUAUAGUGGAUUCAUAGAUUAUCGAAUUGAUUUAUGUGCAUAUGAGCACAGAGGAGCAGUAGUCAAUGAAUAAUUUUGUGAGGAGAGCUUGUUACCAAAUGAAAGGAAAGGAUGUAUGUCAUGUAGGUGUAAAAGUCCUGCAAAACAGAACUGAUAUCAAAAUACCAUCCACAGUGAAUAUGGUGAAGAAUAACCAAUACAUGUACCAUGAAUACAGGACAUGGAAGACCUCACAAACUUGGGAGUUUUACAAAAAAUAGAACAUUUAAAUUUACAAAGAAGACAUUUAUUUUGACAUUCAUAGACUUGGAAAGUAAAGAAAUUAGAAUGUGAAUACAAAUCCUUGGAAAUAAAAUUUUGAACUUU